CAAUAAGAGUGUUUAUGGCACUCUUCAAAAAAUCCAUACCCACCUUGUGUGCAACGUAAAAAGAAAAAAAGACGCGAGUCAUGGGGAUACCCUCCUCAAGUCUUGCCCUUUUUCUCUUUUCCACAUACACCUUUCUAUUAGUUCCUAUUGUCUGAAACUGUUAGAGAAUGACUAAUUCUUAAACA
RNAcentral lists this unclassified non-coding RNA (185 nucleotides) under uncultured Mortierella. Its description in RNAcentral is "sequence contains ITS1". Lineage: Eukaryota; Fungi; Mortierellomycota; Mortierellomycetes; Mortierellales; Mortierellaceae. The record is from RNAcentral.